RNAcentral lists this unclassified non-coding RNA (966 nucleotides) under Hevea brasiliensis (rubber tree). The record is from RNAcentral. Lineage: Eukaryota; Viridiplantae; Streptophyta; Magnoliopsida; Malpighiales; Euphorbiaceae.
ACGCAAUUAAAGAGAAAUUUAUCUUCAAUCUUGUUAUGAAACAAAUAAUAAGAUCCGAGAAUUGGGUUAAAAAAAACAAAUCAAAUAAAGAGAUAACAAAGAGUCUAUACCUUUAAUUUCAAUAAAUAAUUCAAUUUUUUAGUUAUACCAAAAUCAAGGGUGAAAAUAAAACAAUAUAAAGAUCUAUGCAUAUUUUAAAGCAUGUAUAUUUAGUUUUUUUUUUAUUAUUUUUUAUUAUUCUUUUUUUGAUAAUUAAAAGCAUACAAUUUAAAUUUGAGUAUUCUGACAUAUAAAAUUGAAAAGAAAUUAUAUGGGUGAAUAAUCAUAUAAUUAAUGCAGGUAUUUGGUGCAUGCCAAUGGCAUAUGUGCUGGUUAUUCCCUUCUUUCGGCUGUGAUUGUAGCAAUGCCUCGACCAUCCACCAUGUCCAAAGCCUGGACAUUCUUCUUCCUUGAUCAGGUGUUAACAUACAUAAUUCUGGCGGCGGCUGCGGUAUCGGUGGAGGUGCUGUACCUGGCACGAAAGGGAGACACAUCCAUCACUUGGAGUGCAGUUUGUGUUUCGUUUGGGGGAUUCUGUCACAAGGCCACAGCAUCUGCAAUCAUUACAUUUGCUGUAGUAGCUUGCUAUAUACUGCUUUCGCUUCUCUCCUCGUACAAACUUUUCAGCAGAUUUAGUGCACCAGCUAUAAGCUACCCUGGCAAGGACAUCGAGAUUGCCGGCUGUCAAGGCUAAUUAUCACCUCCGGCCACCACCACCGCCUGCUUGGUUGGAUAUCUAUGGUCAAUAACAGUUGUUGUUGGUUUGCUUUUGUGUGAGCUUUGGACUUUCUUGUACUUGAUAUGUGUUUAAACUUUGAAAUUAAUCUACCAAAUAAGAAGCUUUACAUAUAUACUUCUCAUGCAAGUUAAUUACAAUUAUAUUUGAAGCUAAUGUAUAAAAGGGGAUCAAUUUCAAUAAAAUUUAAG